UAGAGUUUGAUCAUGGCUCAGGAUGAACGCUAGCGGCAGGCCUAACACAUGCAAGUCGAGGGGUAACAUAAGGUGCUUGCACUUUGAUGACGACCGGCGCACGGGUGAGUAACGCGUAUACAAUCUGCCUCAUACUAGGGAAUAGCCCAGAGAAAUUUGGAUUAAUGCCCUAUAGUAUCAUUAAGAGUCAUCUCUUUUUGGUUAAAGGUUACGGUAUGAGAUGAGUAUGCGUUCUAUUAGUUAGUAGGUGAGGUAACGGCUCACCUAGACUGCGAUAGAUAGGGGCCCUGAGAGGGGGAUCCCCCACACUGGUACUGAGACACGGACCAGACUCCUACGGGAGGCAGCAGUGAGGAAUAUUAGACAAUGGGCGAAAGCCUGAUCUAGCCAUGCCGCGUGCAGGAUGACGGCCCUAUGGGUUGUAAACUGCUUUUAUACAGGAAGAAAAAACUCUACGUGUAGAGUCUUGACGGUACUGUAAGAAUAAGGAUCGGCUAACUCCGUGCCAGCAGCCGCGGUAAUACGGAGGAUCCAAGCGUUAUCCGGAAUUAUUGGGUUUAAAGGGUCCGUAGGUGGACAAUUAAGUCAGAGGUGAAAUCCUGCAGCUCAACUGUAGAAUUGCCUUUGAAACUGGUUGUCUUGAGUCAUUAUGAAGUGGUUAGAAUGUGUAGUGUAGCGGUGAAAUGCAUAGAUAUUACACAGAAUACCAAUUGCGAAGGCAGAUCACUAAUAAUGUACUGACACUGAUGGACGAAAGCGUGGGUAGCGAACAGGAUUAGAUACCCUGGUAGUCCACGCCGUAAACGAUGGUUACUAGCUGUUCGGACUUCGGUCUGAGUGGCUAAGCGAAAGUGAUAAGUAACCCACCUGGGGAGUACGUUCGCAAGAAUGAAACUCAAAG
Molecule: ribosomal RNA, 901 nt
Filed under: uncultured bacterium
Lineage: Bacteria
Description: bacterial SSU rRNA
Rfam family: Bacterial small subunit ribosomal RNA
Source: RNAcentral